GGUCCUUUAUGGGUUAAAGGGUCGGGGUACUUUCGUCGUGUGCGAGGAUUCGAGAAAUUGGAAGUAGAAUUGUCUAUCAUACCCUUGCUGCGGGAAGCGGCGUCCGACGGCGGCAGAAAAUGGUUGUCCCUGCGGCCUACGCUCUCAGUCCAUUUUUUCCGGUUGCAUCAACUAAAAGCCGAGUGUGUGAACUCCAUAGUUCCAUUCCAAUAAACAACCGCAAACAACAUGUUUCAGUAACGUGCUCUGCAAAAUUUCCAGGGAUGGAACACUUUCACGAACCUACUACCAAGCUUAUAGUUUUCUUAAAUUACACCAAGGAUGAAUUAUGGAAAUUCAUCCCUGGUUCAGUUAAAUCUUUUCCUUGGAAGAAAGCAGAGAGUGUUGCUCUGCACGAGUUACUGAUUUUGGGGAAGGAAACAUUAAAGUGGUCUUUUCUUGCGUGGUUUUCGUUUAGUUGGCUAAUCCGAUAUCUUAUACUCUCUCUCUAGAAACAAAGAGCUCAUGAUUCCUUUUGGUCUUUUUGUCGGAAUUAUUAUCACAAAAUACGUUGAUCAGAUAUGUCAAGAAUUCGUGGUUGAUGAUCACAAGGAUGGUUCGAUUAGCUGGCGAAUUCUGGGUAUUUCUUGCUUUCUUGUUCUUGUGAAGGUAAUGUCAAUGUUUUUUUUGGGAGGAAAUGAUUUUCUCUUGCAUUGUGCGAAUGGCGGAUUGAUGCAAGUAUUAUGGAAUUGGAGAAAUUUGCCAAAAUUAGAUGGAGAAAAAUCGGUUGAGAGCUGAUCAUUCGAUUUACUGUUUCUGUUUCGACAAUUUCCAUGGUUGCCGAUUUUGGAACAGAUGUUUUCUAAUUUAAGAACAUUUAGAAGUUGAGACGCUCGUGAAUAUGUGUACGACACAUUACAAAAUGCUAUCAUUACAUAAUGAAACAGAGCACUCCAUUUUAGUUUCUU
Molecule: non-coding RNA, 947 nt
Organism: Erythranthe guttata (spotted monkey flower)
Lineage: Eukaryota; Viridiplantae; Streptophyta; Magnoliopsida; Lamiales; Phrymaceae
Source: RefSeq, a predicted model, not a curated record